RNAcentral lists this ribosomal RNA (303 nucleotides) under uncultured bacterium. Its description in RNAcentral is "partial 16S ribosomal RNA". It matches the Rfam family "Bacterial small subunit ribosomal RNA", at positions 507 to 807 of the family's 1533-position model. The record is from RNAcentral.
AGCAGUAGCCGCGGUAAUACAGAGGGUGCGAGCGUUAAUCGGAUUUACUGGGCGUAAAGCGUGCGUAGGCGGCUUCUUAAGUCGGAUGUGAAAUCCCUGAGCUUAACUUAGGAAUUGCAUUCGAUACUGGGAAGCUAGAGUAUGGGAGAGGAUGGUAGAAUUCCAGGUGUAGCGGUGAAAUGCGUAGAGAUCUGGAGGAAUACCGAUGGCGAAGGCAGCCAUCUGGCCUAGUACUGACGCUGAGGUACGAAAGCAUGGGGAGCAAACAGGAUUAGAUACCCCAGUAGUCCCUGUCUCUUAUAC